CCUACGGGAGGCAGCAGUGGGGAAUUUUCCGCAAUGGGCGAAAGCCUGACGGAGCAAUACCGCGUGAGGGAGGAAGGCUCUUGGGUUGUAAACCUCUUUUUUCAGGGAAGAUAAUGACGGUACCUGAGGAAUAAGCAUCGGCUAACUCCGUGCCAGCAGCCGCGGUAAUACGGAGGAUGCAAGCGUUAUCCGGAAUGAUUGGGCGUAAAGCGUCCGCAGGUGGUUUUAAAAGUCUGUUGUUAAAGCGUGAGACUUAACCUCAUAAGGGCAAUGGAAACUGUAAGACUAGAGUACGUUCGGGGCAAGGGGAAUUCCCAGUGUAGCGGUGAAAUGCGUAGAGAUUGGGAAGAACACCGGUGGCGAAAGCGCCUUGCUAGGCCGUAACUGACACUGAGGGACGAAAGCUAGGGGAGCGAAUGGGAUUAGAUACCCCAGUAGUCCUAGCCGUAAACGAUGGAUACUAGGCGUUGUCUGUAUCGACCCGGACAGUGCCGUAGCUAACGCGUUAAGUAUCCCGCCUGGGAGUACGCACGCAAGUGUGAAACUCAAAGGAAUUGACGGCNGAGANGCGACGACGACACGAGGAGAG
RNAcentral lists this ribosomal RNA (589 nucleotides) under uncultured bacterium. Its description in RNAcentral is "bacterial SSU rRNA". It matches the Rfam family "Bacterial small subunit ribosomal RNA", at positions 338 to 948 of the family's 1533-position model. The record is from RNAcentral.